AGUGAACGCUGGCGGUAGGCCUAACACAUGCAAGUCGAACGGCAGCACAUUAAGAGCUUGCUCUUACGGGUGGCGAGUGGCGGACGGGUGAGGAAUACAUCGGAAUCUACUUUUUCGUGGGGGAUAACGUAGGGAAACUUACGCUAAUACCGCAUACGACCUACGGGUGAAAGCAGGGGAUCUUCGGACCUUGCGCGAUUGUAUGAGCCGAUGUCGGAUUAGCUAGUUGGCGGGGUAAAGGCCCACCAAGGCGACGAUCCGUAGCUGGUCUGAGAGGAUGGUCAGCCACACUGGAACUGAGACACGGUCCAGACUCCUACGGGAGGCAGCAGUGGGGAAUAUUGGACAAUGGGCGCAAGCCUGAUCCAGCCAUACCGCGUGGGUGAAGAAGGCCUUCGGGUUGUAAAGCCCUUUUGUUGGGAAAGAAAAGCAGCAGGUUAAUACCCCGCUGUUCUGACGGUACCCAAAGAAUAAGCACCGGCUAACUUCGUG
Molecule: ribosomal RNA, 492 nt
Filed under: uncultured bacterium
Lineage: Bacteria
Description: partial 16S ribosomal RNA
Rfam family: Bacterial small subunit ribosomal RNA
Source: RNAcentral